UCCUGAAUGAUGGGAAAUGUGUCCUCUGC
This 29-nucleotide non-coding RNA is filed under the name Homo sapiens (human). The record is from RNAcentral. Lineage: Eukaryota; Metazoa; Chordata; Mammalia; Primates; Hominidae.